RNAcentral lists this transfer RNA (72 nucleotides) under Malacosteus niger (stoplight loosejaw). RNAcentral's name for it is "tRNA-Val". It matches the Rfam family "tRNA". Rfam says of the family: Transfer RNA (tRNA) molecules are approximately 80 nucleotides in length. Their secondary structure includes four short double-helical elements and three loops (D, anti-codon, and T loops). Lineage: Eukaryota; Metazoa; Chordata; Actinopteri; Stomiiformes; Stomiidae. The record is from RNAcentral.
CAGGACGUAGCUCAGGCAGUAAAGCAUUUCUCUUACACUGAAAAGACACCCGUGCAAUUCCGGUCGCCCUGA